UACAGAGGGGGCAAGCGUUAUUCGGAAUUAUUGAGCGUAAAGGGCGCGUAGGCGGCUUUGCAAAUGACGGGUGAAAUCCCUCGGCUUAACCGAGGAACUGCCUGUCAAACUGCAUGGCUUGAGACCGGGAGAGGUGAGUGGAAUUCCCAGUGUAGCGGUGAAAUGCGUAGAUAUCGGGAGGAACACCAGAGGCGAAGGCGGCGCACUGGACAGCAACUGACACUCAACUGCGAAAGCGUGGGGAGCAAACAGG
Molecule: ribosomal RNA, 253 nt
Filed under: uncultured bacterium
Lineage: Bacteria
Description: partial 16S ribosomal RNA
Rfam family: Bacterial small subunit ribosomal RNA
Source: RNAcentral